GCCGCUACAGCAAGGGAGGGGUGACGGUGUGGGGGCGCGAGGAGGACAGCAGCACCGUGCAGAAGCUCAAGAUGAGGAUAGUCUGUAAGGACGUGACAGCAGAGACAUUGUACGACGUCCUCCAUGACACCAGCUACCGGAAGAAGUGGGACACCAACAUGAUCGAUACGUAUGACAUCGGCAGGCUGACGGUCAACGCAGA
This is a long non-coding RNA of Oreochromis niloticus (Nile tilapia), 202 nucleotides long. RefSeq lists it as uncharacterized. Lineage: Eukaryota; Metazoa; Chordata; Actinopteri; Cichliformes; Cichlidae. The record is from RefSeq and is a predicted model, not a curated record. The transcript is spliced from 2 exons.